Serinus canaria (Common canary) is the source of this 1886-nucleotide long non-coding RNA. RefSeq lists it as uncharacterized. Lineage: Eukaryota; Metazoa; Chordata; Aves; Passeriformes; Fringillidae. The transcript is spliced from 2 exons. The record is from RefSeq and is a predicted model, not a curated record.
GGGCCCCGCCGAGCCCCGCUGUGACGCCACCGGCCGCCGCCCGGACCGGCCCCGCCGUGCCUCUGGCUGAGGGAGGCGCGGAGCGGCCUCGGCUGUCGGGGUAGGGCCGUGUGCAAGCCGACGGGUCCCUGGUCCUGCUCGCCUUUAGCCCCCGGCCGCAAGAACCGAGGGGCUCCUGCCGGCGAGAGCCGCCGCCGCUUUCUGCAACCACACCGAGCUCGUGCAGAACACCCGCGAGCCUGAGCGAUGCCCAAACCCCGGAAAGACUGUGGCGAUGAGUUUUGAGUUUUCCAUAGCUCGGUGUGAGUAGGAAGGACUCCCGAUACUGCCGGGUGGUUGGCAUCUUUUGGAACGUGCUCCUGGCCUGAGCAACUGCCCUGCCCAAGCUGAGGCUGCAAUCAACCAACACCCACACCUGGAAAAUGGGGACGUGUUAAUAACCAGCACAAAUCCUGCUCUAACGCUGCCACGCCUGACUUCCUGCAUCACACACCUGAGUCCCAUGUACUGGUGUCACCUGAAUGCCAGGAAGCUGAACUGAGGUGAGGCAGCAGGGAAGACAAAUGCCCUGGUGUUACCUGCAGUGUUCCAUGCUACAGCUCCCUUCUGGGGGGGGUCCCAAGCAGUCAGGAACCUGAGCAAUAAUUUGGGUGACAGGUGCUGCUGGAAACAGUACAGCUUGCCUGCCAAGUUGAGUGAGUUUAGGAGGGUUAGGAUUGGAUGUGUUUUGCUGAGGAACAGUAAAUACAAGUAACAACAGCUGCAGAAAACAGCGCAUGCCAGAAAUGAACGACAAUACUCCAGAAGUUAAAAAAAAAAUUAUAUUGUAAGUACAGUACAAAAAAGUCUGUGUAUAAUUGUAAUGUAAUCUGGACCAAACAGCAAAGAAAUAACAAAAAUAUAAAAACUGCUAAGUCUUGACAAAGUUUCCCUAUAGUACCAAGUACCACAAGAUACAGAUUAUACAAAGUGUACAAAUUUUAAUAAAAAUACAAUACACCAGGGUGUGUGUUUUUCACUCUUCAAGAGUUUUCAGUUGUACAGAGGACAAAGCUAAGGUUGAUCCCCUUCUUUCUUCAAAAGCAGAUCUACCCCUUCACCACAAUGCUCUCAACUGUGAAGGGCUGGAAAGAGCCGGUUAUUUUGUGCUGCUCACAACAGCAGAUGCUUUAGUAUGGGCCAGGAUCUGAAGAGGAUUGGGCUGCCUCCCUCCUGGGCUCUUCCUAUUUCCAGGCUCAUUGGGAUUUGUCCUAAGCUGUUAAAACGUGUUCUGGCCUGGUGGUCUGAGAACCUCUGUGCUUCCUCUGCUCAGAAAACCCCUCACUGCACUGAGAAAAGAUCUGUAAGAGACAGACUACCUUGUACAGGCACAUCUGAGGAAUACGUGGCAAAGCGGCAUGGGGAGAAAAACCCUCCACACCCCAGAAUUUAAUUUACUUCUGAUUUGGGACUCAGCCACAAUGAAGGACAGCUCACUUUCAAAUGUCCUAAAAAACAGAAGCUAGACUUGGAAAUAAAAAAAUGCCUCUUCUCUAAUUUUAAAACUUUCUGUUACAGAGCUGAUAAGGCCUGAGUCAAAUGAUAUUUCAGUUGUUCUGCCCACCUUCACAAGAUAACCUGUUUCUACAAACUCUUAGAAUCUUCCUGGUGUUUCUUUACACAAUGCCCAUGCUUACUACUAUACAUAGAGUUGAUUCCUGCAGAAGUGAGCUAAGACAAACUUGAUUCACAUUUUUCACACACUGUUGGCUGAGGGAGGAAUUUUUGCUUUUAAAUUAUGUAUAUAUAUAAAAAUAUAUACACACACACACACACAGAGAGAAAUAUACAGGAUAAAUUAAAAUCUGUUACAGAUAUUGGUAAAAGUUAAAUACAUGUGAUAUGAA